CCUACGGGGGGCUGCAGUGGGGAAUAUUGGACAAUGGGCGAAAGCCUGAUCCAGCAAUGCCGCGUGAGUGAUGAAGGCCUUAGGGUUGUAAAGCUCUUUUACCAGGGAUGAUAAUGACAGUACCUGUAGAAUAAGCUCCGGCUAACUCCGUGCCAGCAGCCGCGGUACUACGGAGGGAGCUAGCGUUGUUCGGAAUUACUGGGCGUAAAGCGCACGUAGGCGGUUUUUCAAGUCAGGGGUGAAAGCCCGGAGCUCAACUCCGUAAGUGCCCUUGAAACUGGAUGACUAGAAUCUGGGAGAGGGCAGUGGAAGUCCGAGUGUAGAGGUGAAAUGCGUAGAUAUUCGGAAGAACACCAGUGGCGAAGGCGACUGACUGGACAAGUAUUGACGCUGAGGUGCGAAAGCGUGGGGAGCAAACAGGAUUAGAUACCCCGGUAGUC
This 440-nucleotide ribosomal RNA is filed under the name uncultured bacterium. Its description in RNAcentral is "partial 16S ribosomal RNA". It matches the Rfam family "Bacterial small subunit ribosomal RNA", at positions 338 to 795 of the family's 1533-position model. The record is from RNAcentral.